This 253-nucleotide ribosomal RNA is filed under the name uncultured bacterium. RNAcentral's name for it is "partial 16S ribosomal RNA". It matches the Rfam family "Bacterial small subunit ribosomal RNA", at positions 524 to 776 of the family's 1533-position model. The record is from RNAcentral.
UACAGAGGUCCCAAGCGUUACUGAGAAUCACUGGGUUUAAAGGGUGCGUAGGUGGUCCGUUAAGUCAGUUGUGAAAUCCCCGGGCUCAACCCGGGAACUGCUUCUGAUACUGGCGGACUUGUGGCCAGUAGGGGUCACUAGAACUGACGGUGGAGCGGUGAAAUGCGUAGAUAUCGUCAGGAAUGCCGGUGGUGAAGACGGGUGACUGGGCUGGUUCUGACACUGAGGCACGAAAGCGUGGGGAGCGAACGGG